Molecule: ribosomal RNA, 255 nt
Filed under: uncultured bacterium
Lineage: Bacteria
Description: partial 16S ribosomal RNA
Rfam family: Bacterial small subunit ribosomal RNA
Source: RNAcentral
UACGUAGGAGUCACAGCUGUUCGGUCGAAUUAUUGGGCGUAAAGAGCUCGUAGGCGGCUUGUCGCGUCGGCUGUGAAAACCUGGGGCUCAACCCCGGGCCUGCAGCCGAUACGGGCAAGCUAGAAUUCGGUAGGGGAGACUGGAAUUCCUGGUGUAGCGGUGAAAUGCGCAGAUAUCUGGAGGAACACCGGUGGCGAAGGCGGCAUUCUGGACUGCAACUGACACUGAUGAACGAAAGCCAGGGGAGCAAACGGG